CGCAAGCUACCCGGGACCUCGCGCCCCGGGCGGCCCGCCGGCGGACAAACCAAAACUCUUGUUAUCUUAGUUGAUUAUCUGAGUGUCUUAUUUAAUAAGUCAAAACUUUCAACAACGGAUCUCUUGGUUCUGGCAUCGAUGAAGAACGCAGCGAAAUGCGAUAAGUAAUGUGAAUUGCAGAAUUCAGUGAAUCAUCGAAUCUUUGAACGCACAUUGCGCCCAUUAGUAUUCUAGUGGGCAUGCCUGUUCCAGCGUCAUUUCAACCCCUAAGCACAGCUUAUUGUUGGGAACCUACGGCUUCGUAGUUCCUCAAAGACAUUGGCGGAGUGGCAGUGGUCCUCUGAGCGUAUUAAUCUUUUAUCUCGCUUCUGUUAGGUGCUGCCCCCCCGGCCGUAAAACCCCCAAUUUUUUCUGGUUGACCUCGGAUCAGGUAGGAAUACCCGCUGAACUUAAGCAUAUCAAAA
Molecule: ribosomal RNA, 464 nt
Filed under: Nigrospora sphaerica
Lineage: Eukaryota; Fungi; Ascomycota; Sordariomycetes; Amphisphaeriales; Apiosporaceae
Description: eukaryotic LSU rRNA
Rfam family: 5.8S ribosomal RNA (bases 104-257)
Source: RNAcentral